GCCCGGGUGGCGAAAUUGGUAGACGCAGGGGAUUCAAAAUCCCCCGGUGGCGACACCGUGUCGGUUCGAGUCCGACCCCGGGCACCA
Molecule: transfer RNA, 87 nt
Filed under: Chromohalobacter sp.
Lineage: Bacteria; Pseudomonadati; Pseudomonadota; Gammaproteobacteria; Oceanospirillales; Halomonadaceae
Also listed under: 5 other names
Description: tRNA-Leu
Rfam family: tRNA
About the family: Transfer RNA (tRNA) molecules are approximately 80 nucleotides in length. Their secondary structure includes four short double-helical elements and three loops (D, anti-codon, and T loops).
Source: RNAcentral